CAAAAAAAUGGAUGAACUAAGCCAUGCGAGUCAUUGUAGCAAUACAGGCAGACGGCUCAGUAACGCGUAGUCUAUUUAACCUAUGGACGGGAAUAACCUCGGGAAACUGAGUAUCAUGCCCGAUAGAACAUUAUGCCUGGAAUGGUUUAUGUUCCAAAUGAUUUAUCGCCGUAGGAUGGGACUGCGGCCUAUCAGUUUGUUGGUGAGGUAAUGGCCCACCAAGACUAUUACAGGUACGGGCUCUGAGAGGAGUAGCCCGGAGAUGGGUACUGAGACACGGACCCAGGCCCUAUGGGGCGCAGCAGGCGAGAAAACUUUGCAAUGUGCGAAAGCACGACAAGGUUAAUCCGAGUGGUUUCUGCUAAAGGAACCUUUUGUCGGUCCUAGAAACACCGAUGAAUAAGGGGUGGGCAAGUUCUGGUGUCAGCCGCCGCGGUAAAACCAGCACCUCAAGUGGUCAGGAUGAUUAUUGGGCCUAAAGCAUCCGUAGCCGGCUUUGUUAGUUUUCGGUUAAAUCUGUACGCUUAACGUACAGGCUGCCGGGAAUACUGCAGAGCUAGGGAGUGGGAGAGGUAGACGGUACUCGGUAGGAAGGGGUAAAAUCCUUUGAUCUAUUGAUGACCACCUGUGGCGAAGGCGGUCUACCAGAACACGUCCGACGGUGAGGGAUGAAAGCUGGGGGAGCAAACCGGAUUAAAUACCCGGGUAGUCCCAGCUGGAAACUAUGCAAACUCAGUGAUGCAUUGGCUUGUGGGCCAUGCAGUGCUGCAGGGAAGCCGUUAAGUUUGCCGCCUGGGAAAUUCGUACCCAAGUAUAAACUCAAAUGAAUUGACGGA
RNAcentral lists this ribosomal RNA (836 nucleotides) under uncultured archaeon. RNAcentral's name for it is "bacterial SSU rRNA". It matches the Rfam family "Archaeal small subunit ribosomal RNA", at positions 30 to 872 of the family's 1478-position model. The record is from RNAcentral.